Molecule: ribosomal RNA, 482 nt
Filed under: uncultured bacterium
Lineage: Bacteria
Description: partial 16S ribosomal RNA
Rfam family: Bacterial small subunit ribosomal RNA
Source: RNAcentral
AUUGAACGCUGGCGGCAUGCCUUACACAUGCAAGUCGAACGGUAACGGGCCUUCGGGUGCCGACGAGUGGCGAACGGGUGAGUAAUACAUCGGAACGUGCCCGAUCGUGGGGGAUAACGAGGCGAAAGCUUUGCUAAUACCGCAUACGAUCUACGGAUGAAAGCAGGGGACCGCAAGGCCUUGCGCGGACGGAGCGGCCGAUGGCAGAUUAGGUAGGUGGUGGGAUAAAAGCUUACCAAGCCGACGAUCUGUAGCUGGUCUGAGAGGAUGAUCAGCCACACUGGGACUGAGACACGGCCCCGACUCCUACGGGAGGCAGCAGUGGGGAAUUUUGGACAAUGGGCGCAAGCCUGAUCCAGCCAUGCCGCGUGCAGGAUGAAGGCCUUCGGGUUGUAAACUGCUUUUGUACGGAACGAAAAGCCUUCUUUUAAUACAGGAGGGUCAUGACGGUACCGUAAGAAUAAGCACCGGCUAACUACGUG